This 75-nucleotide transfer RNA is filed under the name Trachurus trachurus (Atlantic horse mackerel). RNAcentral describes it as "tRNA-Lys". It matches the Rfam family "tRNA". From Rfam's summary of the family: Transfer RNA (tRNA) molecules are approximately 80 nucleotides in length. Their secondary structure includes four short double-helical elements and three loops (D, anti-codon, and T loops). The record is from RNAcentral. RNAcentral also lists the same sequence under 5 other names. Lineage: Eukaryota; Metazoa; Chordata; Actinopteri; Carangiformes; Carangidae.
CGCUAAGAAGCUAAAUCGGUACAGAGCGUUAGCCUUUUAAGCUAAAGAUUGGUGACUACCUACCACCCUCAGCGA